AACGAACGCUGGCGGCAUGCCUAACACAUGCAAGUCGAACGAGACCUUCGGGUCUAGUGGCGCACGGGUGCGUAACGCGUGGGAACCUGCCCUUAGGUUCGGAAUAACUCCCCGAAAGGGGUGCUAAUACCGGAUAAUGUCUUCGGACCAAAGAUUUAUCGCCUUUGGAUGGGCCCGCGUUGGAUUAGCUAGUUGGUAGGGUAAAAGCCUACCAAGGCGACGAUCCAUAGCUGGUCUGAGAGGAUGAUCAGCCACACUGGGACUGAGACACGGCCCAGACUCCUACGGGAGGCAGCAGCGGGGAAUAUUGGACAAUGGGCGAAAGCCUGAUCCAGCAAUGCCGCGUGAGUGAUGAAGGCCUUAGGGUUGUAAAGCUCUUUUACCCGGGAUGAUAAUGACAGUACCGGGAGAAUAAGCUCCGACUAACUCCGUG
RNAcentral lists this ribosomal RNA (433 nucleotides) under uncultured bacterium. RNAcentral's name for it is "partial 16S ribosomal RNA". It matches the Rfam family "Bacterial small subunit ribosomal RNA", at positions 29 to 507 of the family's 1533-position model. The record is from RNAcentral.